This 505-nucleotide ribosomal RNA is filed under the name uncultured bacterium. RNAcentral's name for it is "bacterial SSU rRNA". It matches the Rfam family "Bacterial small subunit ribosomal RNA", at positions 15 to 507 of the family's 1533-position model. The record is from RNAcentral.
GAUCAUGGCUCAGGAUGAACGCUAGCUACAGGCUUAACACAUGGCAAGUCGAGGGAAACGACAUCGAAAGCUUGCUUUUGAUGGGCGUCGACCGGCGCACGGGUGAGUAACGCGUAUCCAACCUGCCCGUCACUUGGGGAUAACCUUGCGAAAGUAAGACUAAUACCCGAUGAUAUCCCUAGAAGACAUCUGAAAGGGAUUAAAGAUUUAUCGGUGAUGGAUGGGGAUGCGUCUGAUUAGCUUGUUGGCGGGGUAACGGCCCACCAAGGCAACGAUCAGUAGGGGUUCUGAGAGGAAGGUCCCCCACAUUGGAACUGAGACACGGUCCAAACUCCUACGGGAGGCAGCAGUGAGGAAUAUUGGUCAAUGGGCGAGAGCCUGAACCAGCCAAGUAGCGUGCAGGAUGACGGCCCUAUGGGUUGUAAACCGCUUUUGAUUGGGAACAAAGAGCGCCACGUGUGGUGCGUUGCGUGUACCUUUCGAAUAAGCAUCGGCUAAUUCCGUG